Molecule: long non-coding RNA, 4580 nt
Organism: Ictalurus furcatus (blue catfish)
Lineage: Eukaryota; Metazoa; Chordata; Actinopteri; Siluriformes; Ictaluridae
Exons: 4
Source: RefSeq, a predicted model, not a curated record
ACAGGUUAAGUCACACACACGUCCACACAAUGCUGACGGGCAAUGACACUGCUGCUCUUUGAUGUGUAGCUAACUUAAGAAACACACUUGUACUGCUGUGACGUGCCCGACAUAUCAUCUCACACAUGGUAUGUGCACCGCCGGCCCCGCGCUGAACUCGAAACACACAGGCACAUGCACAUGCACAGACACAUACACAUAUACAUACACACACACACACACACACGUGCAAACACAGACACACACCAGUAAACCAACUCUUCACCCAUUUUUAACAAACUGAGUUAGCUCAUUUGGAUAAUUUCAAACACAGCGGUUAGAAAUUUUGUGAUGUAUUAAUAAAUGAUUAGUCUGAAUAUCGAACAUCUGUAGAGAGCACAGUAAACUGCAGUACUUUUGUAUACAAACUCUGUGAGAUUUCAGAUGAAAUCUAUAUUGUUUUGAAAUGGUGUGGAAUUUUUCUCUUUCACUAUUUCUGUAGAUAGGAGCCAACACUUUUCUCUAUUGUAGUUAGUUGCAAAGGGCCAACACUCCCCCCCCCCACACCAAAUACACCUCCCACCCUCACCCCACCCCCUUUCCCUCCCUCCGUUGUUCAAGCAUGCCAUCAGAUUAGCCUGAUCUCUGGUUUCAGCGCUAAUUGUGCUCAUCCACUCAAGAAGCUGACAGACUCUCAAGUGAGGAAAGGCUCAGGCUUGGGUGGCUUGCCAGUCAUCUAUCAUCAGCUAACAGAUCCCUUACAAGAGCCCUGUACAUCAGCCAUAUAAAACUACUACUGAAUGAGCCUCUAAUGUUAGCACUACUACCUGAGUAGCUACCAUCACACAACCUGCAUGGUUUAAAUCACAAUUAGGCUAGUGUCCUCAAACCAUGCUUUUUUUUUUUAAAGCCAGUGUCUUCUGUUGCAUCAUUAUUAUAUUGCACAUACUGCUAUAAUUUUCCCAAUUUUCCAGCUAAAUUCUACCACCUAACUUAGUUACAAGACAAUAUCUUAAGUACAUGCCAAUAGAAGUUUGCAUCCCAUGAGACCAACCAAAAAAAAGGGAGUUGGUGGAUUUUACUUCUAUGUGGAUUGUUAGAUACGAAGCUAGUACAACAAAUGCAGGGUAUGCUGAUUACCAAAUGGGUUUAUUGCACAUGCCGUGGCACUGUAAAAUUUAUUUACCAAGUUCAUUUAUUCAUCUUCAUUAACUGCUUUUUCUUUAAAUUAUUAGGCUGUUUAACCUAAAAAGUAAAAGUAAAACUAACCAAAUUUCUUUAAGAAAAUAUUGUGGGUGGGUACAUACAAAAGUAAGUGCUAGAGCAAUCAAGAUGGGUCAGAAUUCCUUUGGAAGCAGGCAGCAGUGGGAAUAAAAAAAAUCUUGUGCACAUACCUCUUAAUUGUGUAUAAAUUCUAUAAAGUACUUCAAUUGUCUCAGUCCUGUUAGUUUUGUCUUUACUCACCAAAAUAUUUGCUAAACAUUACCUACAUCAUAUCAGACAGAACACAUUUUUAUAGUAAUGUCAUAUUUUACGAUGACAAAAAACAGUGGUGACAAUUUUUAAUUAAAAUUUGAAUGACUGGAUUUAAAGUGUGAGGAGAGACAAUAAAAGCAGAGAUGUGCCCAUCCACUGACAGAUUCCCAUGUUUUUAUUUAAGACCUGCUCCAGUGUGCUAACUGCAUUAAUGAUGUUAUAAAGAAUUAUGAGGUGAAAUCAAAUUUGCCUCGCCACUUGAGCACCACUAAAAUGCCAAACAAUAAACUACCAGAUUGCAAAUUAGAUCAGUAAAAAUAUCAAACACAUUGCGGUGGUGAAAAGAGGAGGGGGGGUUCCAUAAUUGCAUUUAGUGUCUGGACCCUAGGGAACAGAGACACUAAAGAUCAUCAGGGCUCAGUGCUUGAACCUGCUAUUGACAGUGCACUAAAAAUCGACAGGCUAACUAAAUAAACACUCCUGGCUCCAUUAAAUAUUCAACAGUUCAGAUUUGACUAAACUGUCUAUGUUUUGCUUGUUUAGGUCCCCGUGGAGUCGCUACUCUUUCUACUGCACUCCAGGACACUUUCUCUCAACUCCUUCCACCCCUUUUUUGUCUCUCCUUACUGCCACAAUACACACCCCCCAACCUCCAUCCCCAACACACACAUACACACACACAUACACACACACACACAUACACACACACACACACUCAUCAACCCAUCUUUUUUUCACCAUCCUUGACUUUUGACAGCAAUAAAUCAUGUGGAACCUGAGAGUCUGACUCUAAAGGGAAGGGACAGGGACAGGGCCUGCCGAAGAAAAGCAAUACAACAGAGACAGCAAAUGACCAAUACUCAUCACACUGGCACUAAGGCAAAGAUCAGUGACAUUAAAUAAACAUCCCCAAUACCUUGUGCUGCAAAGAUGGAAGAUCAGUCACACAAACACACACAUCCACACAACCUACCCAGCAUGCUAGGUGCCUCGAGGAAACUGGAUUGAUGUGCGCAUUGUAAAGCGCCAAGUCUUAGUUUGAUGGAUGUUUGUGGUGUUGCAUUACCUGCUGAUCAUAGUGAUGCCAUAGUGCUUAUAUUAAAUAAGCUAUUGGCACCUAUGCAGAACCAAGCUCAGUUUCACUAACCAAUUUUACAAACAGCAUGGCUAAAAACAGAUCUAAGAACAGAUCCCCCAAAUUUGAUUUAGACUCCUGAAAUGCACCAUACACAUUAGACAGCCAGUUUAAAUACAUGGUUACUCCUUUCUGAAGAUGGACUAAAAGAGAAAGCAAAAGUCUUGUGGCUCUCAGCUUCUGUGUCUUUGCUCACCUGCUUCCCCGUGAGGGGGUAACAGCCCUUAUGCAAAUGAGCAGUGACAAGGUUAUUGUGGAAUGAAUAUCAAUCGAGUAAUUACAGCACAUGCAGCCCUCCUCUCCCCACCACUCCUGCCUGUCUUCAUCUCUCAUCCCAGCUGCAGAUCUCCCUCGGGGCGAAAAAGAUGGCCACCACUCUCUCUGGAUCCAAAGCUAAUAAUGGAGGCUCUGGUGUGGGCACUGAGGGAGGCAGCCUGCGGGUCCAGAGACGCAGACGUGGCUAAACGCAUCUAAGUAUCCCACCAGAGUAUCACAGCACAGAAAACUAGCAAGCAGAAUGUACAGGCCUCGAAUCUAAGAACUGCAACCCCUACAACACCCAGAAUCCUGGUAUUUAGACAACAUAGCAGUGCAACCUCGGACAGCUCCAGAUUUUUAAGCUAGUGCACAUGCAGCCAAGGGCUGGUCUAACAGUAAUGCUGGGUCAGAUGCUGCACAUCUAGCCACCAAGUCCAGGGCCCGACUGGUGCUGCUGGCAGAGGACUAUUAUAUGCAUGAUCUGCUGCUGCAGGUGCUAAAUCCAGUAGUCAAAAUGGCACCCCAGCAUUCUAAAAUGUCAUCAGCAUGGCAGAAUUAUCAAGUGCCAUUGUGGAGUCAGCCCAACACCUGAAUGUGUUUGAGAAACUGUGAUUCCACUGGGGCUUUGAAAUGUCAGCCGCUUCUGCAAUUACUCACCAGCCUCUGGUGGUUUGCCACUGCAGGGCAACUUUCUCUUUGGAGGAAGACAGCUCAGACAUGAUAAACAUGCUGAAGAAUGUUUGCUCACUUCAGAGCAAGCUCUCUCUGACCUUCACAAAGUCAGCUCUCCACAUGCUACAUUAUUCAGGUAACAAUCAUUACUCAUUUCAUCAGGUAUUUACUUUGCAAUUGGAAACAUUUUGAGAAUGCAUAUAGAAUAAUGGAAGUACAAUAGUAAAGUGGAAGCAAAGUAUAUUCAACAGGAAUGCUGCCCUAAUAAGGGACACAAAGACAGAAUUGUUUAUCAUUAAAGUAUCCCAGUGAGUAAUUCAAAGCAGACCCUGCACCCAAAACUUGUUAUAAAAAACCGAAAGGCCUGCAGUGAAAACAUAUUCUCUCACACACAUUUAUGCACAGACGUACCCACACCCACCCUUUCUCCAUAUCAUCAAACCACAGCAUCCAGUCACGUUCUGCCAUGUCCCCUCCAUUUUCCCUGCAUGCUCCUACAUGCAGCAUAUACAGGGUACUGUGCAUUACUUAAGACAAAUGUUGUUGUUCCUUCCUGUUUUAUUUAUCUCAUCAAUAAUCCUGAUAAGUUAAAACAUUUUUUGCUAUCCUGUUUUAGAGCCACAUGUUUUUUUGCUUACAAAUAUCAAAGACAAGGGGGUAAAUAAUUACUGUAAAUAACAAAGGAGCAGAGAUGGAAAAAAUACAGCAAGAAAUGCAACUUGAGACUCAAACGAUCAUUGAUUGCAGGGGCAAAGUAAGAGUUUCCAUUUGUGGUUGCCAAGGCACCGUUAAAUGUUAUGGGCACAUCAGGGCCUGCUGGUCACUGCUGAGGGGAGAAUGACAUAUAACAAUAAGCAGAACCACUCUUGGACUGCACGGACCCCACGCUUCAAAAGACUUUGGUUCCUGCGCAGAAAAACAUCAAACACCACAACAUGGCAGAAUUGCCGUCAGCAUAAUAUCAGAGUUCUGCCUUUAUAGCCAAAGAGAAGAGCUCAGGACCUUCUUCACUCCAAAAGGAUGCAGAAACAUCAAAUAAAAAAUUCUGCAUAUCCUCAAA